CCCUAAUUCUAAUUUUCCCUACCCCUCCCCAAGUUGACAAGUGAUUCAAUACAUUAAACAUGUGCAAUUCUUCUAUACAUAUUUCCACAAAUAUCAUGUUGCACAAGAAAAAUCAGAUCUAAAAGGGAAAAAAACCCGAGAAAGCAAAAUGCAAGCAAACAACAAAAAAGAAUGAAAAUACCAUGUUGUAGUUGAUAUUCAGUUCCCACUGUCCUCUCCCUUGGUACUGAUAGCUUUAUUCACCACAAGACCAUUGGAACUACUCUGAAUCACCUAAUUAUUGAUGAGAGCCUUGUUCAUCAGAAUUGGUCAUCACAUUAUCUUACUGUUAGCAUGUAUAAUGAUCUCCUGAUGUUGCUCAUUUCACUUAGCAUCAGUUCAUGUAAGUCUGUCUAGGCCUUUCUGAAAUCAUCCUGCUGAGCAUUUCUUACAGAACAAUAAUAUUUCAUAACUUUCAUAUUUCAUAAUUUAUUCAGCCAUUCCCCAUCUGAUGGGCAUCCACUCAAUUUCCAGUUUCUUGCCACUACAAAGAUUUUUGCACAUGUAGGUCUCUUUCCCUCCUUUAUGAAGCCCAGUAGAAACACUGCUGGAUCAAAGGGUAUGCACAGUUUGAUAACUUUUUGGGCAUAAGUCCAGAUUGCUCUCCAGAAUGGUUGGAUCAGUUCACAACUCCACCAACAAUGUAUCAAUGUCCCAGUUUUCCCACAUCCCCUUCAACAUUCGUCAUUAUCUUUUUCUGUCAUUUUAGCCAAUCUGAGAAAUGUGUAGUGAUACCUCAGAGUUGUCUUUUUUUUUUUUUUUAAUUAUAGCUUUUUUAUUGACAGAACACAUGCAUGGGUAAUUUUUUACAACACUGUCCCUUGCACUUACUUCUGUUUCAACUUUUCCCUUCCCUCCCUCUACUCCCUCCCCUAGAUGGCAGGCAGUCUUAUACAUGUUAAAGUAUAGCCUAGAUACAAUAUAUGUGUGCAGAUCUGUACAGUUCUCUUGUUGCACAAGAAGAAUUGGAUUCAGAAGGUAAAAAUAACCUGGGAAGAAAAACAAAAAUACAGGUAUUUUUUCCCAUUCAUUUCCCAAUGUUCCUUCUCUGGGUGUAGCUGAUUCUGUCCAUCAUUGAUCAAUUGGUACUGAAUUAGAUCUUCUCUUUGUUGAAGAUAUCCACUUCCAUCAGAAUACAUCCUCAUACAGUACUGUUGUUGAAGUGUAUAAUGAUCUCCUGACUCUGCUCAUUUCACUCAGCAUCAGUUCAUGUAAGUCUUUCCAAGCCUCUCUGUAUUCAUCCUGCUGGUCAUUUCUUUCAGAUUCCAUAACAUUCAUAUACCACAAUUUACCCAACCAUUUUCCAAUUGAUGAACAUCCAUUCAAUUUCCAGUUUCUAGCCACUAUGAAAAUGACUGCCACAAACAUUUUUGCACAUACGGGGCCCUUUCCCUUCUUUAAUAUCUCUUUGGGAUAUAAGUAGUAACACUUCUGGAUCAAAGGGUAUGCACAGUUUGACAACUUUUUGAGUAUAGUUCCAAAUUGUUCUCCAGAAUGGUUGGAUUUGUUCACAACUCCACCAACAAUGUAUCAGUGUCCCAGUUUUCCUGCAUGCCCUCCAACAUUCAUCAUCUUUUCCUGUCAUCUUAGCUAAUCUGACAGGUGUGUAGUGGUAUCUCAGAGUUGUCUUAAUUUGCAUUUCUCUGACCAGUAGUAAUUUGGAACACCCUUUCAUAUGGCUAGAAAUAGUUUCAAUUUCAUCAUCCGAAAAUUGUCUGUUCAUAUCCUUUGACCAUUUAUCAAUUAGAGAAUGGCUUGAUUUCUUGUAAAUUAGAGUCAAUUCUCUAUAUAUUUUGGAAAUGAGGCCCUUAUCAGAACCUUCAACUGUAAAAAUGUUUUCCCAGUUUAUUGCUUCCCUUCUGAUCUUGUCUGCAUUAGUUUUGUUUGUACAAAAAGCUUUAUAAUUUGAUAUAAUCAAAAUUUUCUAUUUUGUGAUCAAUAAAGAUCAUUAAUCUCUAGUUCUUCUUUGGUCACAAAUUCCUUCCUUCUCCACAAGUCUGAGAGGUAAACUAUCCUAUGUUCCUCUAAUUUAUUUAUAAUCUCAUUCUUUAUGCCUAAAUCAUUAUCUUGAUGUAUGGUGUUAAGUGUGGGUCCAUGCCUAGUUUCUGCCAUACUAAUUUCCAGUUUUCCUAGCAGUUUUUGUCAAAUAGUGAAUUCUUAUCCCAAAAGUUGGGAUCUUUGAGUUUCUCAAACACUAGAUUGCUAUAGUUAUUGACUAUUUUGUCCUGUGAACCUAACCUAUUCCACUGAUCAACUAGUCUAUUUCUUAGCCAAUACCAAAUGGUUUUGGUGAGCACUGCUUUAUAAUAUAGUUUUAGAUCAGGUACAAGCUAGGCCACCUUCAUUUGAUUUUUUUUUCAUUAGUUCCCUUGAAAUUCUUGACCUUUUGUUCUUCCAGAUGAAUUCUAUUAUUUUUUCUAGGUCAUUAAAAUAGUUUUUGAGGAGUCUGAUUGGUAUAGCAGUAAAUAGAUUAGUUUAGGUAAUAUUGUCAUCUUUAUUUUAUUCUCUUGACCUAUAUGAGAGCACUUAGUAUUUUUCUAGUUGUUUACAUCUGACAUUUGUGUGAAAAGUGUUUUGUAAUUUUGCUCAUAUAGUUCUGGACUUUCCCUUGGCAGAUAGAUUCUCAAAUAUUUCAUACUAUCGCCAGUUAUUUUAAAUAGAAUUCUCUUUGUAUCUCUUGCUGUUGGAUUUUGUUAGUGAUGUAUAAAAAUGCUGAGGAUUUAUGUGGAUUUUGUAUCCUGCAACUUUGCUAAAGUUGUGGAUUAUUUCUAAUAGCUUUUUAUAGAAUCUCUGGGGUUCUCAAAGUAUACCCUCAUAUCAUUUGCAAAGAGUGAUAAUUUGGUUUCCUCAUUACCUACUUUAAUUUCUUUAAUCUCUUUUUCAUCUCUUAUUGCAGAAGCUAGCAUUUCUAAUACAAUAUUGAAUAGUAACGGUGAUAGUGGGUGACCUUGUUUCACUCCUGACUUUAUUGGGAAUGGUUCCAGUUUGUGACCAUGACAUAUGAUGUUUACUGAUGGCUUUAAAUGGAUGCUACUAUUUUAAGGAAAAGUCCAUUUAUUCCUAUAAUCUGUAGUGUUUUUUUAAUAGGAAUGGAUGUUGGAUUUUAUCAAAUGCUUUUUCUGCAACUAUUGAGAUGAUCUUUAUGGUUUUUGUUAAUUAAGUCAUUGAUAUAGUCAAUUAUGUUAAUAGUUUUCCUAAUAUUGAACCAGUCCUGCAUUCCUGGUAUAAAUCCUACUUGGUCAUGAUGCAUUAUCCUGGGGGUGAUUGUAAUCUUUUUGCUAAUAUUUUAUUCAAGAUUUUUACAUCAAUGUUCAUUAGGGAGAUUGGUCAAUAAUUUUCUUUCUCUGUUUUUGUCCUAUCUGGUUUAAGUAUCAGUGCCAUGUCUGUGUCAUAAAAGGAAUUUGGUAGGACUCCUUCAAUCCCUAUUUUUUCAAAUAAUUUAUAUAGCAUUGAAGUUAAUUGUUCUUUAAAUGUUUGGUAGAAUUCACAUGUAAAUCCAUCUGGUCCUGGAGAUUUUUUCUUAGGGAGUUGAUUAAUAGCUUGUUCUGUUUCUUUUUCUAAAAUGGGACUAUUUAACCAAUUUACUUUUUUCUCUGUUAAUCUGGGCAACCUAUAUUUUUGAACUUCCAUUUCAUUCAAGUUAUCAAAUUUAUUGGUAUAAAUUUGGGCAAAGUAAAUCCUAAUUAUUGCUCUAAUUUCCUUUUCAUUAGUGGAAAGUUCUCUCUUUUCAUUUUUAAAACUAACAAUUUUAUUUUCCUCUUAUCUUUUUCUAAUCAAAUUUACCAAGGGUUUAUCUAUUUUGUUGGUUUUUUUCAUAGAACCAACUCUUAGUUUUAUUAAUUCAAUAGUUUUUUUUACUUUCAAUUUUAUUAAUCUCUCCUUUUAUUUUUAGAAUUUCAAGUUUAGUGUUUGACUGGGGGUUUUUAAUUUGUUUUAAUUUGUUCCUUUAGUUCCUUUAGCUUUUUUAGUUGCAAGCCCAAUUCAUUGCUUUUCUCUUUCUAGAGAUAUAAAAUUUCCCCUUAUUACCACUUUGGCUGCAUCCCACACAUUUUGGUAUGACGUCUCAUUGUCAUUUUCUUGGGUGAAAUUAUGUCUAUGAUUUGCUAUUCUUUAGUAUGAGAUUAUUUAGUUUCCAUUUUUUGGUCUAUUUUCCCCUGACUUUUUAUUGAAUGUAAUUUUCAUUGCAUCGUGGUUUGAAAAGGAUGCAUUUACUAUUUCUGCCUUUCUGCAUUUGAAUUUGAGGCUUUUAUGUCCCAAUAUAUGGUCAAUUUUUGUAUAAGUUCCAGAAACUGCUGAGAAGAAAGUGUACUCCUUUCUGUCUCCAUUUAGUUUUCUCUAAAGAUCUAUCAUACCUAACUUUUCUAGUAUUCUAUUUAUCUCUUUGAUUUCUUACUUUGUGGUUUGAUUUAGCUAAUUCUGAGAGUUCAUGGUUGAGAUCUCCCACUAUUAUAGUUUUGCUGUCUUUUUCUUCUUGCAGCUCUCUUAAUUUCUCUUUUAAGAAUUUAGAUGCUAUACCACUUGGUACAUAUAUGUUUAAUACUGAUAUUGCUUCAUUAUCUAUGCUACCCUUUAGCAAGAUAUAGUGCCCUUAUCUCUUUUAAUUAGAUCAAUUUUUGCUUUUGUUUGAUCUGAGAUUAGGAUGGCUACCGCUGCUUUUUUUUUCCCCACCUGAAGCACAGUAGAUUCUGCUCCAGCUUUUUACCUUGACUCUAUAUGUAUCUCCCUACUUCAAGUGUAUUUCCUGUAAACAACAUAUUGUAGGAUUCUGGCUUUUAAUCCAGUGUCCUAUCCACUUCCACUUUAUGGGGGAGUUUACCCUAUUCACAUUUAUGGUUAAAAUUACUAAUUCUAUAUUACUUGCCAUCUUGUUAAUCCCUGCUUAUACUUUUCUUCUUUCCUUUCCCUUUACCCCCCUCCCUAGUAUUAAACUUGUGAGCACCACCUACCUCUCACAGCCCUCCCUUUGUAGGAUUCCUCCCCCUACCUUAAAGUUCCUCCCCCUUUCUUACCCCUUUUCCUCACAAUUUCUGUAUUCCCUUCUGCUUAGCUUACUCCUUCCCUUUUCACUUUCCCCUCCCACUUUUCAACUGAGGUGGGAGAAGUUUCUCUGUAAAUCAAAUAUGUCUUAUAUUUUUCUCUUUAAGCUAAUUUUGAUGAGAGUAAGAUACACACUAUGUUCAUCCCCCUCACUUCUUUCCCUCAGAUAUAAUAGGUGAAUCAGUUCUCCAAAAGUCCCCACAGUUGUGAAUCAUAACACACUUGAAGGAAUUGCAAAUCAGCUUCUACUGAUGUAGAUGUUGCUGGUGGAUUGGGAAUAAAAUAAAUCAGAGGCAAGAGAGAAGAGAAGAGAUGUCAGAGAAUGCAAUUGCCUCUCAGUCUCCUUACAUUGUUAUCCUCUCGCAUGAAGGGAUCUGUUCUGCUGUCAGAAUUAGAUUCCUAGCAGCCAUUAGCAGGUGGCUCCUGUAACACAUUGCCUCAAUUGCUACCCAACCUUAAUCAUUGAAUGGGUAUGGCUUCUAACUGAAGUCUGUUGAAGGUCUUAGCUUGUCUCCCAUUGCAUUCAGGGCCAUCUCUAGUCAUCUUGAUCUAUGUCUUGCCACCGGAUCCAGAUGGUUCUGGAGGGGAAAGUGAGGCAUGUGACUUUGCCCAGCCCUCCCUUCCGUAAAGCCAAUUCACUUGCAUGUCAUGACCCCACCUUCCUGAUAUCAUGGUUCUCUUGGAGAAGGAAGGACAAACAAUAGCUCUAACCAUAUAACUCUCCAAGUCCGUGUCUUCCAGGGCUUGAGUUCUUCCCUUGUCCAUUGCAGAAACUCUCUCUGAUCCAAUCAAGGUACAGAGUACCUCUAAUCAGAGUAGCCCAAUCUCUUGAACUCACAAGACUACCUCCAAGGGUAGACAUAAGGACCAUAUAUUCAGUCAUCUCAGGUCAGGGAAGAAAACACAAGGCAGACAAAGUCAGCCAGGGGCUGCAAGGCCAGGGCUUGUCUGGCCAUGUGUUGGCAGGUGAGAGGCUACCAGAUGAGCAGCUCACAAUCUCACAGGAUAUCUAGUAGGGGGAAAAAACAAAACAAAACAAAAAACUGCUCACUUCAUGGGGGGAGGAGGGGUUGAGGAAAGAAUCAGCUGCAAACUGGCUUACUCUUUUAAUAUAGCACUACACACAUCUUUUUUCUAUUUGGGGGCAAGAGAAUCAUUCAGGAAAGAUCAUUCAGGAUUUGCUGCACUAUACAAAAGCACCAAGUCAUUUCAGAGCUGAGUUACAUACAUGGUUAACUGGAAACAGGCCAGGAGGGACUCCUCCUGGAGUUCUCAGAAAACUUAACUCAUGAUCACCCAGGGCUAUAUCAUUUUUGAGAUACUAUCUGGCUCUUUUUCCUACUGUUCAGGGGUGUCAUUUUCCUUGAAGCUUCAAGUUACUACCACCUUAUAGCCAUGUCUGCCUUCAAGUUGCAGUUCUGUUCCCUCAACCCAGAAUACAUUGAGAGACGAUGUGGUGUAAAGGAUAAUGUACUCAAACUGGGAUCUGAGGGAGAAAAAAUAGAUUUUCAUUAAUUUCCUAAAAUUAAAUUAUUUAAAAAAAUAAGAAUUGAGGUCAGAAGUUGUGAGUUUGAAUCCUGUUUCAUACACCUGCAAGCUAUGUAACCUUAAAAAACUCACUUUACUUUUCAAUGCUUCAAGAUUCUCCUCUAUAAAAUGAUUUAAUUGUUGCUAGUAUCCCUUUGCACUCUAAAAUAUAUGAUACCAUGGAUCAUAUGGCUACAUCAACUGAAUUGUGAAUGAUAUGAAAUCUUCUUUUGAAAUCUUCAUUAGAAUGUGAUCCUCUUUUCUCUUUGUUAUCUUCAGCAUUUAGCACUUUACAACACUUAAUAAAUGCUUCAUGUAUUCAUUCUUACAUAAGUAUAAUACAUUAUAGAAAAGGAGAUUUUGCUUCAUAUUAGAAGCAUAGACAAUUGAUUGUAAACUUCUCUAAAGAAAGAAGUAUAAUUUCCAAUUGGAGGCAAAAUCAAAGAAGACUUCAUGGAUGUGGUGGCAUUUGAGGCAGACCUUGAAAACGCUAGUAUUUUAAUAAGUAAGGAUAGGUGUACCAUUUCAGGCAUAAAGUGGCAAGAAAUGGUAGUUUAUCUUUAUGGAUACAUGGACAGUUCAUUUAUUAAUGUAACAUGCCUUUGACUAUGUCCAUAGGGCAGGAUGACUCUAGGAUUUGGAGAGGGUAAAUAUGUUGCUGGCUGGAGUGGACUGAUCCAGUUUCCCAUAUUUAGGGAUCUGCUCUAGUGUGACUUUGGGUUAAGGUAGCUCAUGGGGAAAGGAAGCAGAAUAUAUUAAUAUGGUCUAUGUAGACUUCUGGAUUUUGACACAAUUCAUCACAUAAGAGAGAAGGAGAAAGGGCAGGUAGGUGACACAAUGGAUAACAGCACCAACCCUAAAGUCAGGGAGACCUGAGUUCAAAUCUGCUCUCAGCCACUUAACACUUCCUAGCUGUGUGAUCCUGGGCAAAUCACUUAACCUCAACUGCCUCAGAAAAAAAAAAAAAAAAAAAAAAAAAAAAAAGAGAGAGAGAGAGAGAGAGAGAAAGAGAGAGAGAGGAGAAAACAAAAUCAGUAUCUCUAGUUAUAUUAAUCUAUAUCUCUAACGUAAAUGCUAUUAAUUUUAAAUAAAUACCAAU
RNAcentral lists this long non-coding RNA (7702 nucleotides) under Sarcophilus harrisii (Tasmanian devil). Its description in RNAcentral is "lncRNA (ENSSHAG00000024636.1)". The record is from RNAcentral. Lineage: Eukaryota; Metazoa; Chordata; Mammalia; Dasyuromorphia; Dasyuridae.